Molecule: ribosomal RNA, 490 nt
Filed under: uncultured bacterium
Lineage: Bacteria
Description: partial 16S ribosomal RNA
Rfam family: Bacterial small subunit ribosomal RNA
Source: RNAcentral
AUUGAACGCUGGCGGCGUGCCUUACACAUGCAAGUCGAACGGCAGCAUGAUCUAGCUUGCUAGAUUGAUGGCGAGUGGCGAACGGGUGAGUAAUACAUCGGAACGUGCCCUGUAGUGGGGGAUAACUAGUCGAAAGAUUAGCUAAUACCGCAUACGACCUGAGGGUGAAAGUGGGGGACCGCAAGGCCUCAUGCUAUAGGAGCGGCCGAUGUCUGAUUAGCUAGUUGGUGAGGUAAAGGCUCACCAAGGCGACGAUCAGUAGCUGGUCUGAGAGGACGAUCAGCCACACUGGGACUGAGACACGGCCCAGACUCCUACGGGAGGCAGCAGUGGGGAAUUUUGGACAAUGGGCGAAAGCCUGAUCCAGCAAUGCCGCGUGUGUGAAGAAGGCCUUCGGGUUGUAAAGCACUUUUGUCCGGAAAGAAAUGGCUCUGGUUAAUACCUGGGGUCGAUGACGGUACCGGAAGAAUAAGGACCGGCUAACUGCGUG